Molecule: long non-coding RNA, 550 nt
Organism: Myotis myotis
Lineage: Eukaryota; Metazoa; Chordata; Mammalia; Chiroptera; Vespertilionidae
Exons: 4
Source: RefSeq, a predicted model, not a curated record
GGUCUUCGGGAACAGGCUGUUUGUGGCGUGACCUCCGUCGGCGUGGAACAGGGAAUGCCUCCCGUGAAACCAAGAGACCCAGCCCACCCGUGUGGCUCAGUGGUUGAGCAUCCACCCAUGAAUCAGGAGUUCUGUGACCUGCGUCUCCGUGGCCCCAUGAUGCUCCCAGCAACCCUGUCUGCACGCGAGCUGGCACGGAGCCCCCCUUCUUAUCGCCGGACUCACAGGACAGUGUGAUGAAGUGCACCAAGAUCAGAAAUCUGAGGCACGGGUGGGUGGGUGAAGACACUUGCCCGAAGCCACACAGACAGUGGUCGGACUGGACCAACAGCCCAGCAGCCAGACUCCACACGGCUCAUGCCUCAGUAUGAAAGCCCAGUGGCCAAUGGCACAUCAGAAAUCGGAGGCACGGGUGGGUGGGUGAAGACACUUGCCCGAAGCCACACAGACAAUGGCCGGACUGGACCAACAGCCCAGCAGCCAGACUCCACACGGCUCAUGCCUCAGUAUGAAAGCCCAGUGGCCAAUGGCACGUAAGUAGCAAAAAAAA